GACAAACGCUGGCGGCGUGCUUAAUACAUGCAAGUCGAACGGUCCUCAUUCGUGAGGAUAGUGGCGGACGGGUGAGUAACACGUAGAUGACCUGCCCUGAAGUGGGGAAUAACACCGAGAAAUCGGUGCUAAUACCGCAUAAGCUCUCUAAGGUGGCUUAGAGAGGAAACCUGGGAGCAAUCCUGGGGCUAUAGGGAGGGGUCUGCGGCGGAUUAGCUAGAUGGUGGGGAAAGGCCUACCAUGGCGACGAUCCGUAGCUGGUCUGAGAGGACGAUCAGCCACACUGGGACUGAGACAC
RNAcentral lists this ribosomal RNA (298 nucleotides) under uncultured bacterium. RNAcentral describes it as "partial 16S ribosomal RNA". It matches the Rfam family "Bacterial small subunit ribosomal RNA", at positions 28 to 327 of the family's 1533-position model. The record is from RNAcentral.